RNAcentral lists this ribosomal RNA (385 nucleotides) under uncultured Oomycota. Its description in RNAcentral is "eukaryotic LSU rRNA". Lineage: Eukaryota; Oomycota. The record is from RNAcentral.
UUUGAAAGAGAGUUAAAGAGUACCUGAAACUGCUGAAAGGGAACCGAAUCGUUUCCAGUGUCUAUAAUCCGUGGCAUAUUUCAUUGGCGAGUGUGCGCGUGCGUGUGCUGUGGCAGUGGCUUUUUUGGCUGCGCUCGGUGCGUGUGCUGUGUGUGCUUGCUGGUGCCCUGUGCUGCGGUGGGACGUCAAGGUCAGUUCGUAUGCUGCGGGAAAUGGCUGCCGAGGAGGUAGGGCUUACGCUCCGCGUUUGUCUGUUAUAUCUUGGUGGACGAGUCGUCGUGGUUGGGACUGAGGUGCCUACAACGUGCUUUUGAGUGGGUUCGUGUCUCCGUGUGCGCCGUGUGCGGAUAGCUUGCUAUGCGUGUGUGGUUGUGCGUGGAUUGGU